This 204-nucleotide unclassified non-coding RNA is filed under the name Hevea brasiliensis (rubber tree). Lineage: Eukaryota; Viridiplantae; Streptophyta; Magnoliopsida; Malpighiales; Euphorbiaceae. The record is from RNAcentral.
GCAAAUUUCCCUAAAUGCUGACAUGAUAGUCAAUUUUCUGUAGCUUUCUUGCAUCAUCAUUUGGAAUCUUUUUUUAACUCUUGUAGCUGUAAUACUUCACAUCAUACUCUUUCUUCUAUCUGUCUUCAUUUUCUUCAUUGUUCAUUAUUGUACUUUUACCAAUUAUUCAUUUAUAGGGAUAGAGUAUAAGAAUGCACUUUCCAG